This 245-nucleotide ribosomal RNA is filed under the name uncultured bacterium. RNAcentral's name for it is "partial 16S ribosomal RNA". It matches the Rfam family "Bacterial small subunit ribosomal RNA", at positions 524 to 768 of the family's 1533-position model. The record is from RNAcentral.
UACGUAGGGGGCAAGCGUUGUCCGAAUUUACUGGGCGUAAAGCGCGCGUAGGCGGUUUAUCAGGUCAGGUGUGAAAUCUCCGGGCUCAACUCGGAAACUGCACUUGAAACCGGUAGGCUUGAGGAUAGGAGAGGGAAGUGGAAUUCCUGGUGUAGCGGUGAAAUGCGUAGAUAUCAGGAGGAACAUCCGUGGCGAAGGCGGCUUCCUGGCCUAUAACUGACGCUGAGGUGCGAAAGCCAGGGGAG